Nematostella vectensis (starlet sea anemone) is the source of this 1548-nucleotide long non-coding RNA. RefSeq lists it as uncharacterized. The record is from RefSeq and is a predicted model, not a curated record. The transcript has 2 exons. Lineage: Eukaryota; Metazoa; Cnidaria; Anthozoa; Actiniaria; Edwardsiidae.
UAGGGGGAAAUUGAUGAAUCAUUAUGCUCUCUGUCACAUCAAUCUUAUCAAACAUCUCGAGACCCGCCUUUCGAGACGUGUGCUCUUCUCUGUCUCAAUGAGAAAAGCAAACGUGAAGGCAGAAUGUGGUGACACUGCUAUGGAAAGGUACUUAAAUAACCGACAUGGUAACCUGCCAUUUUACAUAAGCCCACAAUCAAACAAACAGCCAAGACAACUCUUAUAAGCAAGUAUUAUCUGUUGCACAUUGGAUCACUAAGAAUAUAUGGAUAACCCGGUUGAUCAAGUUUAAGUGAUUUCUUCUUAUCAUCAGGUCAUUUUGGCGACGAGAGCAGUGAUAAUUGCACAGGACGAAAUGUCGAUGACUGGAUAGAGUCGUUCGAAGUCAAAUGAGUGAGAUCCAUUAAGGCAAUGAUCAAUUACUAAGACUUUUCCAUAAAUUUAUUUUGAAAGAAAGACAAAAGGCCGAGACAUUUACGUAGUAAGAGCCAAUCGGCUUGAAAAAAAUCAUUUGCGUGGUAUAGCUAAGAAAAUAAUAAAAUAUAUAAUAAUAAUAAUAAUGAUAACAUGUUACAUAAUUGACUGAAUUUUUGGUUGAGCCAGAGAUGAUAAUUUAUAAUACUUGAUUUUAUUUUAUAGCUUCUAGAGCGUAUUUACACUUGACAAAACUGUUUAAUCGUUCCGCUCUUGUCAUUUUCUGUUGCUGAAGGUUUCUUCAAGUUCUUGAGUUUCCUAAGAUUUCCUAAGUUCGAUCAAAACAACAAAAUAUGAUUAAACUUCCUAAAAAUUCCUAGGAUUUCCUAGUAUAAGCAGUAGACCAGAAAAUCGGAAUAAUUUGGAUAAGAAAAUCUUAGGAAGAAGAUUUGAAGCCGUUCUACAAUUUAGGAACUCUUAGGAAAUUCUUAGGAAAUCCUAAAGAACAUGUUCAAUACAAGAACAGGCCUCACCAUACUUGCAUAUAUUGUCAGCUAUACUACAACAAUAGGAAAUGUAAUCAAAGACAGGCAUUGGACUCGAACAUGAGUUUUAUGUGGUGUACCUUCAGAAUUCGCUCAGAAUAAUUAGUACUGCAUUGAAAAGAAAGAUAGGUAGGGUGAUAAUUGUAUAAAAUUCUUAGAUCCGAUUUGAACAUUAUAAAAUCAUAUAUAUUGUUUCUAAUAGAAAUGCUACUUGAGACUAUAAAAAAAAAAGAAGCCCCGCUUUGCAGAUAGAAGACUGCUCCACCAGGCCCGUAAAAGCAAAAUGUACCGGGCCUCCCUCGCUUUAGUGGCCAAGAGGGGCUUGGGCCCAAGGCGCAAAAUCAUAACGGUCGAACGAAAGCCAUUAUCACAGCCUCCAAACGAAUAGUCGUUUAUUCCCGUCUUUUCUACGCGUAAUUCACCUUUUUUAAGGAUUUGAUGGCAGAAAAUGGAUUGAAGUAAAAGGGCAUUAUGAUAGAGAUAGUAAAAUGUGCUCGAGUUGCAAAGCCAGAAAAGAAAGAAGUUGGAGGUAUAAGGAAUGUAUCAAUGCGUAAAUCGCAAGAAACGAAUAAAAACUUCGUAAACUUAA